AAACCCUAACCGUUUUCCAGAAACCCUAAUUUUCAUCAGAAUCAACAUUUUUGCAUCAAUCCUCAGAGAUUCGUGUGAAUCUUCAUCACCGGAUUGAAGAUUUUCCUGCAAUUCCAAGUGCGAGCUCACAUUGAAGCAAGCUCAAGCACUGAUCACAGGGUUUCCUCACGUAAAUCUAAGAAACAUUGAAGCAAGCUCAAGCACGUAAUCACAGAGAAGCAGAGAAAGAAUCAGAGAAGAUGAAGAAGAGGAACCGGUAAACCGAUUUAUUUUCGGUCCAAAAAGCAAGCA
RNAcentral lists this long non-coding RNA (291 nucleotides) under Medicago truncatula (barrel medic). RNAcentral describes it as "long non-coding RNA (MTRU_LNC005265)". Lineage: Eukaryota; Viridiplantae; Streptophyta; Magnoliopsida; Fabales; Fabaceae. The record is from RNAcentral.